CGGCGACGAUUAAUCCGUCUGUUUUAUUCGUAUUAAAGACGAAUCGAGUUCAGACUUUCCUUGGGAGUAACAAUCAAAGUGACAGGCAUCUACAGUACGUGUCAAGUACUGCGAAUAUUGAGGAUGAAAAAUGUUUCGUCGAAUGUUGGCGGUCACAAUGUGAUACAGAGUAUCAUACCUAUAUGUACACAUAGAGAAAGUGUAAUGGCGCAUUUAUAAAGAAUAGAUCUGCUACAGAUUGCAAUGCUGCGAGCGCUACCCUUCUUCCUAAGAUAAAACAAGUUCAGAUUCUUUUCGGGAGUGUCGAUUAAAGUAACGGGAGAGUGCGGAAUGUGCGGCACUGCAGAUUCUUUUUGGGUGCGCCGAAUAAAGUAACCGGCGAGUACGGAAUGUGCGGCACUGCAGAUUUUUUUUGGGAGCGCCGAAUAAAGUAACGGGCGAGUACGAAAUGCGCGGGCGAGUUCGAAAUGCGCGGGCGAGUGCGAAAUGUACAGAGUAUUACACGUAUACGCAUACAUGUAGAGAAAGUGUAAUGGCGCAUUUAUGAAGAAUAAAUCCGCCAAAAAUUGCAAUAGUACGAGCGCCACCUUUUGGCCUGAGAUAAAACAAGUGCAGAUUCUUUUCGGGAGUGUCGAUUAAAGUAACGGGCGAUUGCGAAAUGCGCGGGCAAGUGCGAAAUGUACGGAAUAUCGCAUCAUAGUGCACACACACAGAAAAAGUGUAAUGGUGUAAUGGUGCACUUAUGAAGAAUAGAUCCGCCACAGACUGCAGCGAGCGUCAACCCUUCUGUCUAAAAUAAAACAAGUGCAGAUUAUUUUCGGGAGUGUCGAUUAAAGUAACGGGCCAGUGCGAAAUACGCGGGCGAGUGCGGAAUGUACGGGCGAGUAUGAGUAUGAACCGAUGUUUGCAAUUAUAGGCGUUUUGCGAUUUUGGCGUUCCAUCGAUUAUCUGGCGAUUGGAUCGUGAAGCAGAUUAUAAUUUUAUUUAGUAUAAAUUUUGACACCAUAAACAAACAGAAUCAUUUUUACAUUGACUUAAAAGAAUCGAAUCGUAGUGCACUUUUUAUUAAAUGUAGCAUGUGGAAAAUUAUUGAUAUUAUAUUCGGCUUAUGUAUAUAAAAUGUAAUGUUCAUGUUCCUACUUGACGAUCUCCACCAAGAUUAUUGAUGUUUGUGUCGGUUAUUAUAUGUUACAAAGUACGUAAUGUCGAGUCUAUCAUUGCGUAUGUAAUAUUUUUGUAUAUUUGGCUGCAAGUAUAUUUGGCACAAAGUACGUUUUAUGUUUCGAGUAUCGUCUUUAACGUUUCGUAUUUCGGCGAGGAAAAUUCAUGACAUGAAUUCGUGAGUAUACAAGUGAGUGAACAAGUGGUGAUCUUUGAUGUUGAUCAAAUCUUCGUUGGAAUUCAUCAGAAUAGUCCUGGGCAGGA
Molecule: non-coding RNA, 1425 nt
Organism: Linepithema humile (Argentine ant)
Lineage: Eukaryota; Metazoa; Arthropoda; Insecta; Hymenoptera; Formicidae
Source: RefSeq, a predicted model, not a curated record